Molecule: signal recognition particle RNA, 104 nt
Filed under: Hominimerdicola alba 7 = DSM 20455
Lineage: Bacteria; Bacillati; Bacillota; Clostridia; Eubacteriales; Oscillospiraceae
Description: Ruminococcus albus 7 = DSM 20455 SRP RNA; RNA component of signal recognition particle
Rfam family: Bacterial small signal recognition particle RNA
About the family: The signal recognition particle (SRP) is a universally conserved ribonucleoprotein involved in the co-translational targeting of proteins to membranes. Archaeal SRP consists of a 7S RNA and homologues of the eukaryotic SRP19 and SRP54 proteins.
Source: RNAcentral
GUGCGGGUCCUGUACAAUGAAACGCUGUGAACCAUGUCAGGCGGGGAACCGAGCAGCAUUAAGCGGUUUGUUUCGUGUGUUACAGUUUCGCCUGCACGCCUAUA